CUUUUGGAGGAAGAACUGCGUGAGAUAGGUACUUCUGUUGUACCUCCAGGUGAAGUGUAUGGAAGAUGGGAUGGCAUAGAGUUUAAAGAUAAAGAAAUAGUGUGGCCACCAAUGGUGAUUAUAAUGAACACGAGGCAUGACAAAGCUGAAAAUGACAAGGUAGAUGUUGAUUUUUGUCUUCUACUUGAUAUACUUUUUAUUUAAUACUUUAUUGGCUGAAUGAACACGAGGCAUGACAAAGGUGAAAAUGACAAGGUAGAUGAUGAUUUUUGUCUUCUACUUGAUAUACUUUUUAUUUAAUACUUUAUUGGCUGGAUGGCUAAUAGGUAUCUCUCUCUCUGUGUGAGCCACAUUUCUCAGUGG
Molecule: long non-coding RNA, 363 nt
Filed under: Nicotiana benthamiana
Lineage: Eukaryota; Viridiplantae; Streptophyta; Magnoliopsida; Solanales; Solanaceae
Description: long non-coding RNA (NBEN_LNC003721)
Source: RNAcentral